Molecule: ribosomal RNA, 227 nt
Filed under: uncultured bacterium
Lineage: Bacteria
Description: partial 16S ribosomal RNA
Rfam family: Bacterial small subunit ribosomal RNA
Source: RNAcentral
UGAGUAACACGUAUCCAACCUGCCGUCUACUCUUGGACAGCCUUCUGAAAGGAAGAUUAAUACAAGAUGGCAUCAUGAGUCCGCAUGUUCGCAUGAUUAAAGGUAUUCCGGUAGACGAUGGGGAUGCGUUCCAUUAGAUAGUGGGCGGGGUAACGGCCCACCUAGUCUUCGAUGGAUAGGGGUUCUGAGAGGAAGGUCCCCCACAUUGGAACUGAGACACGGUCCAA